GGGCCCGCACAAGCGGCGGAGCAUGCGGAUUAAUUCGAUGCAACGCGAAGAACCUUACCAAGGCUUGACAUACACCGGAAACGGCUGGAAACAGUCGCCCCGCAAGGUCGGUGUACAGGUGGUGCAUGGUUGUCGUCAGCUCGUGUCGUGAGAUGUUGGGUUAAGUCCCGCAACGAGCGCAACCCUCGUUCUAUGUUGCCAGCGGGUUAUGCCGGGAACUCAUAGGAGACUGCCGGGGUCAACUCGGAGGAAGGUGGGGAUGACGUCAAGUCACCAUGCCCCUUAUGUCUUGGGCUUCACGCAUGCUACAAUGGCCAGUACAAAGGGCUGCAAUACCGUAGGGUGGAGCGAAUCCCAAAAAGCUGGUCCCAGUUCGGAUUGAGGUCUGCAACUCGACCUCAUGAAGUCGGAGUCGCUAGUAAUCGCAGA
Molecule: ribosomal RNA, 429 nt
Filed under: uncultured Actinomycetes bacterium
Lineage: Bacteria; Bacillati; Actinomycetota; Actinomycetes
Description: bacterial SSU rRNA
Rfam family: Bacterial small subunit ribosomal RNA
Source: RNAcentral